RNAcentral lists this ribosomal RNA (508 nucleotides) under uncultured bacterium. RNAcentral's name for it is "partial 16S ribosomal RNA". It matches the Rfam family "Bacterial small subunit ribosomal RNA", at positions 28 to 507 of the family's 1533-position model. The record is from RNAcentral.
GACGAACGCUGGCGGCGUGCCUAAUACAUGCAAGUCGAACGCUUCUUUCCUCCCGAGCGCUUGCACUCAAUUGGAAAGAGGAGUGGCGGACGGGUGAGUAACACGCGGGUAACCUACCCAUCAGGGGGGGAUAACACUUGGAAACAGGUGCUAAUACCGCAUAACAGUUUAUGCCGCAUGGCAUAAGAGUGAAAGGCGCUUUCGGGUGUCGCUGAUGGAUGGACCCGCGGUGCAUUAGCUAGUUGGUGAGGUAACGGCUCACCAAGGCCACGAUGCAUAGCCGACCUGAGAGGGUGAUCGGCCACACUGGGACUGAGACACGGCCCAGACUCCUACGGGAGGCAGCAGUAGGGAAUCUUCGGCAAUGGACGAAAGUCUGACCGAGCAACGCCGCGUGAGUGAAGAAGGUUUUCGGAUCGUAAAACUCUGUUGUUAGAGAAGAACAAGGACGUUAGUAACUGAACGUCCCCUGACGGUAUCUAACCAGAAAGCCACGGCUAACUACGUG